GACGAACGCUGGCGGCGUGCUUAACACAUGCAAGUCGAACGGAAAGGCCCUGCUUUUGUGGGUGCCUGAGUGGCGAAAGGGGGAGUAAAAAGUGAGUUACCUGCCCUUGACUUUGGGAAAACUUUAGGAAACCGGGGCCAAUUACGGGUAGGAGCCCCUGCCGCAAGGGGGGGGUUGGGAAGGUUUCGGCGGUUGGGGAGGGACUCGCGGCUUAUCAGCUUGUUGGUGGGGUAGUGGCUUACCAAGGCUUUGACGGGUGGCCGGCCUGAGAGGGUGACCGGCCACAUUGGGACUGAGAUACGGCCCAGACUCCUACGGGAGGCAGCAGUGGGGAAUAUUGCACAAUGGGCGGAAGCCUGAUGCAGCAACGCCGCGUGCGGGAUGACGGCCUUCGGGUUGUAAACCGCUUUCGCCUGUGACGAAGCGUGAGUGACGGUAAUGGGUAAAGAAGCACCGGCUAACUACGUG
RNAcentral lists this ribosomal RNA (468 nucleotides) under uncultured bacterium. RNAcentral describes it as "partial 16S ribosomal RNA". It matches the Rfam family "Bacterial small subunit ribosomal RNA", at positions 28 to 507 of the family's 1533-position model. The record is from RNAcentral.